UUGAAGCUUGCAGGAGAAAAGCCCCAACAAUCUCUCCAUAUUGUAUCAAAAAAAAAAAUCCACGGGAUGCAAGUGAAAGGAUCUGAACAGAAGACUAUAGACUAUAGAAUAAAACUAUAGACUAUAGAAUAAAAAAUUAAUAACAGAGUUGUGCCAACUUCUACAUCCAAAACUGGCACCCUUUACGAGGCGCUCACAUGCACUGUCGGUGGAAGAGCAAGUCCUAAUAAGCUUGAAGUUACUAGGCUCUGGAAGCUUCCAGUCCAGCGCUAAAGACAUUAUUAACGUCUCCCAGCCAACUGCAAGCAGAGUUUUUUCAGAAUUUCUCAAUGCCCUAGGUGAGCUUGCAAAUGAUUUUAUACAUAUGCCAGACGAUCCAUUUGAAACCAAAAUGAACUUCUAUAAUAUAAACAAGUUUCCAAAUGUUAUUGGUGCUAUCGACGGGACCCAUGUGCCGAUAAUUGCUCCUGCUGCCAACGAACAUCUUUACAUUUGUCGAACGAAUUUUCAUUCUUUGAAUGUACAGGCAAUCUGCGAUGAAAAAAUGAUCUUUACAGACAUUGUGGUCAAAUAGCCUGGCUCGAGUCAUGAUUCGUUCAUAUUACAACAAUCCAACAUAUAUGACAAAUUCGAAAGUGGCCAAUUUGGUAACAGCUUGCUGAUUGGGGACAGUGGAUACCCAUUAAAAAUGGUUGAUGACACCAAUUUUAAAUCCCAAUGGGCCAGUCGCUUAAAGAUAUAAUAUUGCACACAAAAAGACAAGAGUAAUUAUCGAAAAAGCAUUUGGAGUGUUGAAGCAAAGGUGGCGCAUUCUCGAUCAUAUCGGGGGCAAAUUGUGCUAUACGCUAUUGAAAGUUGCGAAAAUUAUAGUAUGUUGUGUUAUUCUACACAAUAUGUGCAGGAGAAAUAACGUUCCUCUGCCUUUCAAUGGGAGAAUUCACCCUGCACCGGACACAGAUGAAACUGCAGCACAAGAUGAUUUCGAACCCACUGCAGAGUCAGUGCGUUCGGCCAUAGUUUCAAGUUUUAGUUAAGUGUAUCGUCAAAAAUUUUUGUGUGCUUGGAGUAAGGGUGUUGUCAAAAACUUAAUACACGUGAAAUUAGCGACAAUC
Styela clava is the source of this 1112-nucleotide non-coding RNA. NCBI's taxonomy places the organism in Eukaryota, Metazoa, Chordata, Ascidiacea, Stolidobranchia, Styelidae. The record is from RefSeq and is a predicted model, not a curated record.